RNAcentral lists this long non-coding RNA (755 nucleotides) under Crocodylus porosus (Australian saltwater crocodile). Its description in RNAcentral is "lncRNA (ENSCPRG00005004349.1)". Lineage: Eukaryota; Metazoa; Chordata; Crocodylia; Crocodylidae. The record is from RNAcentral.
AUCAGCUUGUUAUUCUGUCUUUGGAACUGCAGGACUAGUGGCCGCUUGGGACCAUCUGACUUCUUAGUAAUAAAUCAGGUUGCAACUGAGCCUGAUUAGGAGCUUGAAUUUGAAGCUGUCCUUGGAACACUCUGAGAUUUGAUCAAGGAAGUUCUUCUGGCCAUCUGGACCAAUCGGGGAUGUCUCCUGCAUUGCCAGUUUCAGAAGCUUUUAAAAUAACCUGCUGCAUGACGUGAUUGGGCUGCAUUGAGCAUCUGUCUCUGCAGAUUUCCUGAGCGAGAUGUCCCAAAGCCUUCUGUGAAAAUACCUGUGCACUCAGGUAAACAUCCGUCUGCAGGGGUCUGUGUGGAUGCAUCAGCCGUUGUCAAGCGACGCACAGUGGGAGGGUAAUUGGGAGAGAGGCAUGGCAGUUAGCCUGACAUGUUCAAACAUACCCUAACCACUAUUUUUAUGGUUUCCCGUUACCAUGUCACCAAGCCCUCCGCAACAGAAAACUUACCACUGGCUGCACUUCUGCCCCUGACUCCUGGUCCUGGUUCUGAGAAAGGGAACACUUUAAGACCUGAACCCUAUGCCUGCCGCUUGCUGGCAAUCCAGGCCACUCAAGUGCAGAGGAAAGUGGAAGGGACCCAGGCAUGUCAUCAUCUGGUUCUGAAGAACAGGAGAGACAAGGGACCUCCUCCUCCACACAAGGUAUGUUAAGCCCUGGGGAAUGAUCAAUCACCUGGCACCUAAAGUGACAGCUUCAAUUAAAG